GGAUCCUCUAAUUUGGAGACAUACAAAGAUCUGUGAUGGCUUUUGUAAAGGUCAAAAGGAUCAGCUUUCCUUCUUGCAAGCAUGGCCAUGAUUGAUGGACACAGCAAGUAGGAGGUCAGCUGUCUCGGUAGACACAGCAGGUAGCAGGUCUGUUGUCUCUGUGCUGGGUGGUCACAGAAGCUUUGAGGAACACUGCUCUUUUUUCUCUUCAGGACUUUUCCUUGUCCUCGUUCCAAAAGAGGUUCUCAUCACAUAAGCAAAGGACCAGUAUUUGUCCCUGUGGAUGCACCAAGACUUGAAGUGGCACGGCACACUCUUAGAAAGCUGUAACACCUUCUGCUGGUGGGUCAGGUAGACCAGAAUGCCAUGAUGGCCUACUCACCUUCAACAGCCAGAGGGGCUGCCCAAAAUGGUAAAUCUUAUGCUGCCGACUGGACACACCACAGCUGGAAGUCAUCACUGGCCCCCCUUUCAGAGCCCAGGUCUGGAUCACAAGCUCACCCCUCCUGGAAAGCAGAGUCUCCAGCUGUCCUGUAGUUUGCAAUAUGAAGAUAUCAGCAAUCUGAUGAUUUAUUGAUGCUGUCAUUUUAAUUGUCAAAGUACAUUUUUAUUGCCAAAACAACAUCUGUUCAAUGGUUUUUUG
RNAcentral lists this long non-coding RNA (643 nucleotides) under Equus asinus (donkey). RNAcentral's name for it is "lncRNA (ENSEASG00005026806.1)". Lineage: Eukaryota; Metazoa; Chordata; Mammalia; Perissodactyla; Equidae. The record is from RNAcentral.